This is a long non-coding RNA of Bos taurus (domestic cattle), 1226 nucleotides long. The record is from Ensembl. NCBI's taxonomy places the organism in Eukaryota, Metazoa, Chordata, Mammalia, Artiodactyla, Bovidae.
UCGCCGCCGUGGCCGGUGCUGCAGUGGGAGAUGAGGGUGAGGUCCCAGAAGAGGACACAGCGCUGAUCCACGCAUCAGCGAUGGCCCCGAUGGCCUUGGGCAGCUGGGUCUCAGGACAGCAGAGCUCAGGACUCUCGGGGGUUGACAUGGAGGGAGGGGUCCCCUCAGGGUACGAGCCAGCUCAGGCUGGUGGAGGCUGGCUGUAGGGACACGCAGAUUGCGAGGCAGAGAAACCUCAGCUUUGUUGGAGGCAGCAGCUUCUCCCAGCGACGGGACCCGGGAAGAGAACAUGCCCGGCUAAGGGAACCGGGCGAACCUGGCCAGGCCGUGCUGUCGGCGCGUCCGGCUGACAGCUCUCUCUUCUCGAACCUUCUCUGCCUGCCUCUCUGCUCUUAAAGCACCUGGCUUUUUGCGCCCUCACGGGCCCAGACCGACAAGCCCAGGAGGCCCUGCUCGCCUGUGCUCCUCACCAACCUUCCAGAAACAGGAAAGGCCCUCCGAGCCGCCAGCCCAGCCCGUAGAACAAGCCGUUCCCAGUCCCAGGUGGAGUUUCUGGCCUGACCCACACGCAGACGCCGCACAUGGGUGGUCUGGUGGAUCAGAGGAGGAGCAGAAAGACGAUAGCAGGCUCCGGAGACCCACGCAGCCUGGGUCUUCCUCCACAGCCUCAGUCUUUCCGGCUGGGAAAUGGGGAAACGGCCUCUGCUUCACCAGCUGGUGAGGAUUUUAUUGGUUAAGGCCUGGAACAGACUUCAAGGGCACUUGGCUCCCGGAAAGAUGUUAGGUAUGUUAUAUAUAAUGUGACAAAGUGCCACAAACCUGGAGGCUUAGACAACAGAAGGCUCGUCUCCAGUUCCGGAGCCCAGAUGUCUGACAGAAGGUGCCCGAGGGCUGCUGCCCUGUGGGGACUGAGGGGAGGCUCUGUCCUCGGCUUGUAAACCUCCGCCCUCACCCUCACGGCGUUCUCCCUGGGCGUGUGCACCUGUCUCUGUGUCCAACUCUGCCCUUUUUUAUAAGAACACAGAGAUCUGGGACCGCGGCCCACCCGGUGAGCUCAAGCUAGCUUGGGUCUCUCCGAAGACGAUUUCCAAAUCAGGUCCCGUGAGCAACUGGCGGGGCUUGGCGCCGCAGGCUCUUCCCGGGGCACCCGGGGACCGUGGCGCGGGCACGUGAGGGUAGCAGCCGCGGUGAAGGCGCGGGGCUUUGGGCCCGAGACUCAGCAAGAC